UCCACUGUUCCAUCAGCGACUGGGCGAACAUAGGGCACAUGGCCACUCUUAUGCUGCGUUUUUUGAAGUUUUUUCCACUGUUCCAUCAGCGACUGGGCGAACAUAGGGCACAUGGCCACCCUUAUGCUGCGUUUUUUGAUGUUUUUUCCACUGUUCCAUCAGCGACUGGGCGAACAUAGGGCACAUGGCCACCCUUAUGCUGCGUUUUUUGAAGUUUUUUCCACUGUUCCAUCAGCGACUGGGCGAACAUAGGGCACAUGGCCACCCUUAUGCUGCGUUUUUUGAUGUUUUUUCCACUGUUCCAUCAGCGACUGGGCGAACAUAGGGCACAUGGCCACUCUUAUGCUGCGUUUUUUGAUGGUACGUGCCUCUCUUGUCCUGCCCGAGGGAUCAUGACGCGUACAUGCUGCUUCUCUUCCAGUUUUUUCCACUGUUCCAUCAGCGACUGGGCGAACAUAGGGCACAUGGCCACUCUUAUGCUGCGUUUU
Long non-coding RNA from Ornithodoros turicata, 488 nucleotides. RefSeq lists it as uncharacterized. The transcript is spliced from 5 exons. The record is from RefSeq and is a predicted model, not a curated record. Lineage: Eukaryota; Metazoa; Arthropoda; Arachnida; Ixodida; Argasidae.